AUGCCUGCCUCUCAAUAACCCAACCACACGACGCGGCGAAAAAGGGAUAAACCCCAAAAUUCUUCCUGUUCUACCCAAUUACCCGAAUCAUUUUUCUAUGCUUUCCUUCUAAUUUCUUCCUUUAUCCUUUUGCUUUCCUCCUAAUUACGCUAUCUAAUCUCAUCGGACUUCGAGAAUUUUGCGAUGGUGAAAUCCGCGGGGGAGCGGCAGGGAUCUUCGGUGGCGCCUUUUCUGAAGAAAUUGUACGAGAUGGUCGACGAUGAGGCAACCAAUUCCAUUAUCUCGUGGAGUCCGAGGGAUGAUAGCUUUACGAUUCUGGACAUGACUCAUUUCUCUGUCCACUUGCUUCCCAAGUACUUUAAGCACAGUAAUUUCUCUAGCUUUAUGCGGCAGCUCAACAUCUAUGGUUUUCGGAAAAUUGAGACAGAUUGCUGGGAAUUUGCAACUGAUGGAUUCGUUAAAGGACAAAAACAUCUGUUGAAGAACAUCUACCGAAGGAAAAACAUACAGGGCACAGAUCAGCGUAGAGCGUCACAGCCCCAAGACAAUUCUGAGGGACAAGGUGAACUACAUGAUUAUACAGGGCUGUGGAAGGAAGUUGAGAAUCUUAAAAUAGACAAAAAUGGUGUAAUGCAGGAAUUGGUUAAACUUAGGCAGCAGCAGGAAACUUCAGAGAGCAAGAUGCUCCUAUUGAGAGACCGCCUUCAAGGUAUGGAAAAGAAUCAACAGCAGAUGCUAUCAUUCUUAGUAAUGGCAGUGCAAAGCCCUGGAUUUUUGGUUCAGUUUCUUCAACCAAAAGAGAAGAAUUGGCGCAUGGCUGAUGCUGGCAAUAUGUUAGAACAAAUUCCAGAUGAUAAUCAAGUACCUUCAAAUGGUUUGAUAGUCAGGUAUCAACGUCCAAUAGAUGAACUGCCAGCACCUCUACUUCCACCAGUGUCGGGUCUGGGGAAACAACAAGAAUCUGAUCCAUUCCCUGAUGGAAUGAAGGACUUUUUCCUUAAUUCCGACUUCAUGAAAGUACUUAUGGAUGAAAAGUUAGACAAUCACAGCCAAUUUGUUCUACCAGAUGUACAGGAUGUCGCAUGGGAGCAGCUUCUUUUAGCGAGCACUGUUUCUUGUAAUUCAGAUAAUGUUAGAAAAGUUGACGACGAACGGGAGCCUAUGGACCAUGAGGACCAUGAACUGGAUAUGGAAACAAUUGAUACUCGAACUCAUGAAGAGAAUCUGCAAGAUUUCGAACUUCUAAUCAAACAAAUGGAGAAAGGUGAAAAUUUCGGGUUGCAACCAAGGUUGGAUGAAUCGUAUAUCGAGAAAUCAAAUACUGUUAAUCUUAUGGAACUUAUGGCAUCUGAUCAAGAAAUCCUAUAUGAAACACCGGCGAAGAUGCAAGGCCAUUAAAAGAAUUAUAUGUUUUUCUGGCGGGUUUAUGUUUCUUCAUGGAUUUAAAAUCUCAAAGAUCAGUACAAGUUUCUUUUGUCUUCACCAUCCAUACCAAGUAACCAUUGGUUGGCUAUGAAGUUAUGGUGAUAAGCUGCUGCUGCUAUUUCAAUGUCUUGAGCAGAGUAUUGAAUUUCAAACAGGUUUAGGAAUUUCGGCCAUCUUUUUCUUGGUGAUAACCUCAAGGUUCGUAUACACGACACUGGAAGCACGUGCCUCUAAUCCAAGGAGAAUGCUCCAUUGCAGUACCUGUAGAGCCCAAAUACAAAAUAACUUCUCAGUUUGUAGGCAAAGACAGAGAUUUUUCAUUUUUUUGGCAAAAAUCCUCUUUGUGCAGCUUCUUGACAUAGGCCAAGUAAACUUUUAUGUAACUACUCUCUUUGCAAUGUUCUGACCAAGCUCGUUUGCCUUAGGGGUGGCUCCAGUAUUUUUCAUCCAUCUUAUGACAUAUUCCAUUUCUCUUAGUAAAAUAAGGGCCCUUUCAUCAUCCGUCAAUCAAUAGAAAAUGACUUCAACUAUUCUCA
Molecule: RNA transcript, 1961 nt
Organism: Cucurbita maxima (winter squash)
Lineage: Eukaryota; Viridiplantae; Streptophyta; Magnoliopsida; Cucurbitales; Cucurbitaceae
Gene name: heat stress transcription factor A-8-like
Exons: 3
Source: RefSeq, a predicted model, not a curated record